GGCGGCAUCGACAAGUGGUCUAAGUCACCAGCCUUUCACGCUGGAGUCACGGGUUCGAAUCCCGUUGCCGUCACCA
This 76-nucleotide transfer RNA is filed under the name Succinivibrio sp. RNAcentral's name for it is "tRNA-Glu". It matches the Rfam family "tRNA". Rfam says of the family: Transfer RNA (tRNA) molecules are approximately 80 nucleotides in length. Their secondary structure includes four short double-helical elements and three loops (D, anti-codon, and T loops). The record is from RNAcentral. RNAcentral also lists the same sequence under 1 other name. Lineage: Bacteria; Pseudomonadati; Pseudomonadota; Gammaproteobacteria; Aeromonadales; Succinivibrionaceae.